GAUGAACGCUGGCGGCGUGCCUAAUACAUGCAAGUCGAGCGAACGGACGAGAAGCUUGCUUCUCUGAUGUUAGCGGCGGACGGGUGAGUAACACGUGGAUAACCUACCUAUAAGACUGGGAUAACUUCGGGAAACCGGAGCUAAUACCGGAUGAUAUUUUGAACCGCAUGGUUCAAAAGUGAAAGACGGUCUUGCUGUCACUUAUAGAUGGAUCCGCGCUGCAUUAGCUAGUUGGUAAGGUAACGGCUUACCAAGGCAACGAUGCAUAGCCGACCUGAGAGGGUGAUCGGCCACAAUGGAACUGAGACACGGUCCAGACUCCUAAGGGAGGCAGCAGUAGGGAAUCUUCCGCAAUGGGCGAAAGCCUGAAGGAGCAAAGCCGCGUGAGUGAUGAAGGUCUUCGGAUCGUAAAACUCUGUUAUUAGGGAAGAACAUAUGUGUAAGUAACUGUGCACAUCUUGACGGUACCUAAUCAGAAAGCCACGGCUAACUACGUG
RNAcentral lists this ribosomal RNA (497 nucleotides) under uncultured bacterium. Its description in RNAcentral is "partial 16S ribosomal RNA". It matches the Rfam family "Bacterial small subunit ribosomal RNA", at positions 28 to 507 of the family's 1533-position model. The record is from RNAcentral.